RNAcentral lists this long non-coding RNA (451 nucleotides) under Mus musculus (house mouse). RNAcentral describes it as "predicted gene 15494". Lineage: Eukaryota; Metazoa; Chordata; Mammalia; Rodentia; Muridae. The record is from RNAcentral.
GUAAGGGCGGGGUCUCCGCUGCUGGAGAGGCGCCGCGUCGCAGCUCCUCCUGCGUCGCCCUGAGUUAAGAAAAAGGGGAGACCGAGGCUGGGGCAACCGAUGGGAUCAGGAAGGGGGGGGGGCGGUCAAACGAAGGCUGGGCAUUUCAUAAUGAGAAACUGGAUACGAAGAUGGAGAAACCAAAGACCAAGACAGGCUAAAGUAGAAGACUGGAGCGGAGCGGUCACCUUGUCUGGGAGGUACAGACACUAACACUUUAGUAUGUUUUAAAUAUAUUAUUCUUUCCUUUUGGUGUAUAAGUGUGUGGACACAUACAUGCCGUGGUGGAAGGUCAGAGGACAACUUUUGGGAGUUGAUUUUAUCUUUCCACCAUGUUCUAGGAAUCAAACACAAGUUGCAAAGCUUGUAUGACAAGUGUCUCUACCCCAUGCACCAUCUCACUGUUGUUUUA